This 994-nucleotide ribosomal RNA is filed under the name Nanobdellota archaeon. RNAcentral's name for it is "partial 23S ribosomal RNA". It matches the Rfam family "Archaeal large subunit ribosomal RNA", at positions 19 to 996 of the family's 2987-position model. Lineage: Archaea; Nanobdellati; Nanobdellota. The record is from RNAcentral.
CAGGUGGUGGAUGGCUGGGCUCCCGAGCCGACGAAGGGCGUGCCAAGCUGCGAUAAGCCCGGGCGAGGCGCAUGGAGCCGUCGAACCCGGGAUCCCCGAAUGGGACCUCCUGCGGGCUUCGGCCCGCGCUCCCAUAAGACUGGGCUUAGCCCAGUCUGAGGGAGCGGGAACCCCCUGAAUUGAAACAUCUUAGUAAGGGGAGGAAAAGAAAGCAAAACGCGAUGCCGGGAGUAGGGGCGACCGAAACCGGCAGAGCCCAAACCGAACCCUGUGGCGACGAGUCACAGGGGAUGUGGAGUGGUCUGGACCGGGGCACUCCCUCGCCAGGCGAGCCGAAGUCCCCUGGAAUGGGGCGCCAUAGAGGGUGAUAGCCCCGUAGGCGAAGCCUGGAAGGGAGAUUCCCGGGAUCCCGAGUACGCGUGCUUGGAUAUGCACGCGGAAGACGGGGGACAUCAACCCCCAAGGCUAAAUACUCCGGGAGUCCGAUAGCGGACUAGUACCGUGAGGGAAAGCUGAAAAGAAGGGGUAAUACCCAGUGAAAAGAGCCUGAAACCACCUGGGAAUAGUCAGCCAUGGCCCAAAAGCGCCCUGGGUGAAGAGGCUUAUGCCUCGAGCUCAGGGCUUGCAGGGUCAUGGCGUACGUUUUGAAAAACGGGGCAGGGAGUGUGGCUCAGUGGCGAGGUUAAGGGCUCUACGCCCGAAGCCGGAGCGAAAGCGACAAGCCCGCAGCCUCGCUUUUUGCGAGGCGAGGGGCGGGGUCCGAAAGGGCCUGAAGUCACUGGGCCACGACCAGAAGCCGCUCGAUCUAGCCCUGGGCAGGGUGAAGUCCCGCGAAAGCGGGAUGGAGGCCCGCUAGGGGUGGUGCCCCAACGCCCUCCCGUGACCCGGGGCUAGGGGUGAAAAGCCAAUCGAGAGCGGCGAUAGCUGGUUCCCCCCGAAAUGCGUCACAGCGCAGCCUCCCCGGAGGUAGCGGGCGGUGUAAAGCACUGAUUGG